GUAAACAUAGUUUAAUAAAACAUUAGGUUGUGGUCCUAAAAAUAGAAGUUUAACCCUUCUUGUAUA
This 66-nucleotide transfer RNA is filed under the name Sphenomorphus melanopogon. RNAcentral's name for it is "tRNA-His". It matches the Rfam family "tRNA". From Rfam's summary of the family: Transfer RNA (tRNA) molecules are approximately 80 nucleotides in length. Lineage: Eukaryota; Metazoa; Chordata; Lepidosauria; Squamata; Scincidae. The record is from RNAcentral.